Molecule: ribosomal RNA, 1108 nt
Filed under: Batophora occidentalis
Lineage: Eukaryota; Viridiplantae; Chlorophyta; Ulvophyceae; Dasycladales; Dasycladaceae
Description: SSU rRNA
Rfam family: Eukaryotic small subunit ribosomal RNA
Source: RNAcentral
GCGGUAAUUCCAGCUCCAAUAGCGUAUAUUAAAGUUGCUGCGUUUAAAAAGCUCGUAGUUGGAUCUCAGUCUCGAUCGAGCGGUCCGUCUUCCGACGGUACUGCGCGAAUCGGACAUUCCGCCGCAUUUCCCCGCAUGCCCUUAACUGAGUGUGCGGGGAGAGUGGUACGUUUACUUUGAAAAAAUUAGAGUGCUCAAAGCAGGCCAUGGCCUGAAUAGUCGUGCAUGGAAUGAUGGAAUAGGGCCUCGGUUCUAUUUUGUUGGUUUCCGGAACUCGAGGUAAUGAUUAAUAGGGACGGACGGGGGCAUUUGUAUUGCGACGUUAGAGGUGAAAUUCUUAGAUCGUCGCAAGACAAACUACUGCGAAAGCAUUUGCCAAGAAUGUUUUCAUUAAUCAAGAACGAAAGUCAGAGGUUCGAAGGCGAUCAGAUACCGCCCUAGUUCUGACCAUAAACGAUGCCAACUGGCGAUCCGCCGCAGUUAAUUCAAAUGACUCGGCGGGCAGCUUCCGGGAAACCAAAGUUUUUGAGUUCCGGGGGAAGUAUGGUUGCAAAGCUGGAACUUAAAGGAAUUGACGGAAGAGCACCACCAGGAGUGGAGCCUGUGGCUUAAUUUGACUCAACACGGGAAACCUCACCAGGCCCGGACACCAGAAGGAUUGACAGAUUGAUAGCUCUUUCUUGAUUUGGUGGGUGGUGGUGCAUGGCCGUUCUUAGUUGGUGGAGUGAUUUGUCUGGUUAAUUCCGAUAACGAACGAGACCCCGGCCUGCUUACUAGACCACGGAUCCGUUUGUCCGUGCUGUCUUCUUAGAGGGACAACUGGCUACACGAAAUAGCUACAUGAAAUGGGGCAAUAACAGGUCUGUGAUGCCCUUAGAUGUUCUGGGCCGCACACGCGCUACACUGAAGGGAUCAUCGUGUUUAUCCUAGUCCGAGAGGACCGGGAAACCCGCUGAAUUCUCUUCGUGCUAGGGAUUGAGGCUUGCAACUGUUUCUCAUGAACGAGGAAUUCCCAGUAAGCGUGAGUCAUCAGCUCGCGCUGAUUACGUCCCUGCUCUUUGUACACACCGCCCGUCGCUACUACCGAUUGGAUGAAUUAGUGAGACAU